CAGUAGCCACGGUAAUACGAAGGGGGCUAGCGUUGCUCGGAAUGACUGGGCGUAAAGGGCGCGUAGGCGGCAUGUACAGUCAGACGUGAAAUUCCUGGGCUUAACCUGGGGGCUGCGUUUGAUACUGUUCAUCUUGAGUAUGGGAGAGGUGUGUGGAACUCCGAGUGUAGAGGUGAAAUUCGUAGAUAUUCGGAAGAACACCAGUGGCGAAGGCGACACACUGGCCCAUUACUGACGCUGAGGCUCGAAAGCGUGGGGAGCAAACAGGAUUAGAUACCCCCGUAGUCCCUGUCUCUUAUAC
RNAcentral lists this ribosomal RNA (301 nucleotides) under uncultured bacterium. RNAcentral describes it as "partial 16S ribosomal RNA". It matches the Rfam family "Bacterial small subunit ribosomal RNA", at positions 509 to 807 of the family's 1533-position model. The record is from RNAcentral.